RNAcentral lists this ribosomal RNA (253 nucleotides) under uncultured bacterium. RNAcentral describes it as "partial 16S ribosomal RNA". It matches the Rfam family "Bacterial small subunit ribosomal RNA", at positions 524 to 776 of the family's 1533-position model. The record is from RNAcentral.
UACGUAGGGCGCAAGCGUUGUCCGGAAUUAUUGGGCGUAAAGAGCUCGUAGGCGGCUUGUCACGUCGGAUGUGAAAGCCCGGGGCUUAACCCCGGGUCUGCAUUCGAUACGGGCAGGCUAGAGUGUGGUAGGGGAGAUCGGAAUUCCUGGUGUAGCGGUGAAAUGCGCAGAUAUCAGGAGGAACACCGGUGGCGAAGGCGGAUCUCUGGGCCAUUACUGACGCUGAGACGCGAAAGCGUGGGGAGCGAACAGG